This 253-nucleotide ribosomal RNA is filed under the name uncultured bacterium. RNAcentral's name for it is "partial 16S ribosomal RNA". It matches the Rfam family "Bacterial small subunit ribosomal RNA", at positions 524 to 776 of the family's 1533-position model. The record is from RNAcentral.
UACGUAGGGGGCAAGCGUUAAUCGGAAUUACUGGGCGUAAAGCGUGCGCAGGCGGUCUUGUAAGUCUGUCGUGAAAUCCCCGGGCUCAACCUGGGAAUGGCGAUGGAGACUGCAAGGCUAGAGUUUGGCAGAGGGGGGUAGAAUUCCACGUGUAGCAGUGAAAUGCGUAGAGAUGUGGAGGAACACCGAUGGCGAAGGCAGCCCCCUGGGUCAAAACUGACGCUCAUGCACGAAAGCGUGGGGAGCAAACAGG